AGAGUUAAUAGCAAAAUGUCCGGACGCGGCAAAGGCGGGAAGGGUUUGGGGAAAGGAGGCGCCAAGCGGCACAGGAAGGUGCUGCGGGAUAACAUCCAGGGCAUCACCAAGCCCGCCAUCCGC
Long non-coding RNA from Xenopus tropicalis (tropical clawed frog), 123 nucleotides. RefSeq lists it as uncharacterized. The transcript has 3 exons. Lineage: Eukaryota; Metazoa; Chordata; Amphibia; Anura; Pipidae. The record is from RefSeq and is a predicted model, not a curated record.